CACGAGGUCAAGAGAUCGAGAUCAUCCUGGCUAACAGAAAAACCAAACCAUAGCUGGCUGUUUGCAUUUGCUGAGAAUAUAUUUUAGAGUGCCCACACAGCAAGAGAGUCUAUGAUUAUUGCCCUAAACCACACCAAGCAUCGUGAGGAAAUGAGGAUGAGGAUAUGCUCUUGCUCUUGAGUGGCUUGCGCCCUCAAGGGAGUGCUAAGUGUUCCUUGCACAUAAGCUGCUUGUGUUAUUCCAAAAGGACCUGGGAAACAGUGUGAAAAAACUUCAGGGGAAAACAAACGCCAUAGGCUGAAGGCAAGGAGGACAAGUGCAGUGAAAAUCAAAGGAAGAGGCAAUAUGGGGACGUGGUAUGCACCCUGCAGAGAAAAGCAGAGGAUCAUCCUAGCCCAGCCUUGCCACCAACUUGCCAAGGGGACCUGGGCCAGCACUGGCCCACCCUGGACUCACUUUAUCCUUUGGUAAUAGAAGGGGCUGG
Long non-coding RNA from Homo sapiens (human), 484 nucleotides. RefSeq lists it as uncharacterized. The record is from RefSeq and is a predicted model, not a curated record. The transcript is spliced from 3 exons. Lineage: Eukaryota; Metazoa; Chordata; Mammalia; Primates; Hominidae.